Molecule: ribosomal RNA, 1343 nt
Filed under: uncultured bacterium
Lineage: Bacteria
Description: 16S ribosomal RNA
Rfam family: Bacterial small subunit ribosomal RNA
Source: RNAcentral
GACGAACGCUGGCGGCGUGCUUAACACAUGCAAGUCGAACGGAAAGGCCCUGCUUUUGUGGGGUGCUCGAGUGGCGAACGGGUGAGUAACACGUGAGUAACCUGCCCUUGACUUUGGGAUAACUUCAGGAAACUGAGGCUAAUACCGGAUAGGAGCUCCUGCUGCAUGGUGGGGGUUGGAAAGUUUCGGCGGUUGGGGAUGGACUCGCGGCUUAUCAGCUUGUUGGUGGGGUAGUGGCUUACCAAGGCUUUGACGGGUAGCCGGCCUGAGAGGGUGACCGGCCACAUUGGGACUGAGAUACGGCCCAGACUCCUACGGGAGGCAGCAGUGGGGAAUAUUGCACAAUGGGCGGAAGCCUGAUGCAGCAACGCCGCGUGCGGGAUGACGGCCUUCGGGUUGUAAACCGCUUUCGCCUGUGACGAAGCGUGAGUGACGGUAAUGGGUAAAGAAGCACCGGCUAACUACGUGCCAGCAGCCGCGGUGAUACGUAGGGUGCGAGCGUUGUCCGGAUUUAUUGGGCGUAAAGGGCUCGUAGGUGGUUGAUCGCGUCGGAAGUGUAAUCUUGGGGCUUAACCCUGAGCGUGCUUUCGAUACGGGUUGACUUGAGGAAGGUAGGGGAGAAUGGAAUUCCUGGUGGAGCGGUGGAAUGCGCAGAUAUCAGGAGGAACACCAGUGGCGAAGGCGGUUCUCUGGGCCUUUCCUGACGCUGAGGAGCGAAAGCGUGGGGAGCGAACAGGCUUAGACACCCUGGUAGUCCACGCUGUAAACGGUGGGUACUAGGUGUGGGGUCCAUUCCACGGGUUCCGUGCCGUAGCUAACGCUUUAAGUACCCCGCCUGGGGAGUACGGCCGCAAGGCUAAAACUCAAAGGAAUUGGCGGGGCCCCGCACAAGCGGCGGAGCAUGCGGAUUAAUUCGAUGCAACGCGUAGAACCUUACCUGGGUUUGACAUGGAUCGGGAGUGCUCAGAGAUGGGUGUGCCUCUUUUGGGGUCGGUUCACAGGUGGUGCAUGGCUGUCGUCAGCUCGUGUCGUGAGAUGUUGGGUUAAGUCCCGCAACGAGCGCAACCCUUGUUCACUGUUGCCAGCACGUUAUGGUGGGGACUCAGUGGAGACCGCCGGGGUCAACUCGGAGGAAGGUGGGGAUGACGUCAAGUCAUCAUGCCCCUUAUGUCCAGGGCUUCACGCAUGCUACAAUGGCUGGUACAGAGAGUGGCGAGCCUGUGAGGGUGAGCGAAUCUCGGAAAGCCGGUCUCAGUUCGGAUUGGGGUCUGCAACUCGACCUCAUGAAGUCGGAGUCGCUAGUAAUCGCAGAUCAGCAACGCUGCGGUGAAUACGUUCCCGGG